This 483-nucleotide ribosomal RNA is filed under the name uncultured bacterium. RNAcentral describes it as "partial 16S ribosomal RNA". It matches the Rfam family "Bacterial small subunit ribosomal RNA", at positions 30 to 507 of the family's 1533-position model. The record is from RNAcentral.
AGCGAACGCUGGCGGCAGGCCUAACACAUGCAAGUCGAGCGGCAGCGCGGGGGCAACCCUGGCGGCGAGCGGCGGACGGGUGAGGAAUUCGUCGGAAUCUGCCUUUUUGUGGGGAUAAACUAGGGGAACUUACGGUUAUUACGGCUUACUUCUUCCGGAGGAAGGGGGGGGACGGCAGGCCUUCAGCCAGAAGAAGAGCCGACGACCGGUUUGCUAGUUGGGGGGGUAAAGGGCCACCAAGGCGACGAUCGGGAGCUGGUCUGAGAGGAUGAUCAGCCACACUGGGACUGAGACACGGCCCAGACUCCUACGGGAGGCAGCAGUGGGGAAUAGUGGACAAUGGGCGCAAGCCUGAUCCAGCCAUGCCGCGUGUGUGAAGAAGGCCUUCGGGUUGUAAAGCACUUUUGUCCGGAAAGAAAUCCCUGGAGCUAAUACCUUCGGGGGAUGACGGUACCGGAAGAAUAAGCACCGGCUAACUUCGUG